This is a long non-coding RNA of Passer domesticus (house sparrow), 2523 nucleotides long. RefSeq lists it as uncharacterized. The record is from RefSeq and is a predicted model, not a curated record. Lineage: Eukaryota; Metazoa; Chordata; Aves; Passeriformes; Passeridae. The transcript is spliced from 4 exons.
GCCAAGCUUCUUCCUAGCAGCUGCUUCAGUGCUGUGUUUUGGAUUCAGUAUGAGAACAAUGUUGGUAACACACUGAUGUUUUAUUUGUGCCUCAGCAGUGCUUACCCUGAGUCAAGGACUUUCCAGUGUCUCCUGCUCUGCCAGUGAGGAGGGGCACAAGAAGCCAGGAGGGAGCACGGCCAGGACAGCUGACCUGAACUGGCCAAAGGGAUAUUCCACACUACAGAACAUCAUGCCCAGUGUAUAAACUGGAAGAAGUUGGCUGGGAGGGAUGGAUCACUGCUGUGGGACAGGCUGGAUAUCUUUCAGCAGGGGAUUUCCUUAUGUGCUGGAGAAAGCAGCAAGACCACAGCAUGAAUACCAGAAAAAUAUUUUUGCAAGCCACAGCGAGCCUUGGGUUGUUGAUACCACAGGACCCUCCAUCUCAGAGGAACUCUGAAAGAUCCAUCAAAAUUUGCUGUGGUACACCUUGCCAUUUUUGACUCAGGCUUCAUGGCAGAAGACUAUUAAGACAGAAAAAUUGAUAAGGAUCCUCCUGACAUUUCUGAAACAUGGAAGACAUGAAUGUGUGACAGGGGCAGACAGAGUUGCCUUGUGUUGAACCUGCAAUUAAUGGAAAACUCCAGUCUUUUCUGCAGAUUUGCUGAAAACCAAGUAUUCUCCAUUAGAUAUUCCUGUACAGGGAUACUUCUACCUGAGUGUGCUACCUUGAAUUUUUACUUCUUGAAACUGACCCUCUUUAUUUUCAGACUAUGCCUCUCAUUUGGGAAUAUUGUCACAAAUUUCUGGUCCUUUCUUUCAGCAUGUUAGCAGUUCCUCACAGGUUCAUAGGCGUCAUCCAAGUCAUCAGAGGGAGCACAGAACAGAGUUAUAGCACAAUUACAGCAUCUCUUUAGAGCGUGUAAUACUUGCUGGUAUUUUAAUCUGUAAGAAAAUCUAAAGCCAUGGCCACUAACAUUUACAGGUGGUACAAAAAGUCAUGUACGAAAUAAUGACAGGUCAAUGAUACAAAGAGGUCUGGAUAAUUUUGUAAAAUGGGUUCAUCUGACAAGUAUGAGUUUUAAUAUGUCAAAAUGCAAAUCACAAGCAUCUUUGGAAAUUAACAAUGUGGCUCACACCUGUGGGAUGAGGAAGUGUGUUUUUGAAAUGGGGACUCUCAAACUUAACCCACUGAAAAGGGACCUUGAAGAAAAACCACAGCAGGGCGUAACAACACUUGCCCAAGUAAGCAGUGAAUCACAAAACAGGAAAAAAUAUCCAAGGAAGGGACAUUUUAGAGUCAGAAUGUCUCCUACAUAAAUAUUUCCCAAGUUAAAAUUAAAUUGACAAUUUAUUUUUCUAGGACACCACCCAUGCACUUCUUUCAGAUACUUUCCCACCUGCUCAUCAUAUCAUAUAUGCAUAUCAGCACCUAAUGUCUGCACUAUCAGCAUGACUGCUUACUCAAUGAAAGGAGCAGUGACAUUUGUACUGCUGUCACACACAAGGACAGAAUUAAGGUUUGUGUAUUCAAGGCAUCAGACACAUGUUUAGAAGAGGGGACAAAAUGCUGCAGUCCCCAGAGGAGUCUACAAUAACCUAUUUCAAACUUUCAAAGUCUUAGCCUGUAUCACAGAAACUGCACAAACCUGUGAUUUCCAUUUCUGAAAGUUUUGAGCAAGCAAGUCUUAUGUAUUCCAACUUGUCAGUAUGUCUGAUCACAAAUAAUGCUUACGUUUAAAGGACUAGUAUGGCUUUACAGCUGAAGAGAUGAGGCUGAGAGCUCCAUUCUGAAAUCCUUAGUGCUGCACAGCUGAGCAGAGACCACUGAGAUGGAGUAAUUUCCCAGGGACAGUUAGAAACUAAAGAAUUGAAUAAAGUUCUUCAGUGCCUGAACCACUAACAGAACACAUUUUCUAAGGGUUCAUCAAACAGCAGAACUUUUUUUUUUAAUUUCCUGCUAACAACUUUCCACCAACAGGAAGAAGUACAGUGUCAGACCUCCAUAUAUCAGCAUUCUCAACCAAAAACUGAAAAUGCAGGUGGAGUCUGGUUUCUUCUACAGCAUCACAGAUAGGGAAUGUCAGAUCCUCAGAUCUGUAAAUUGAACACAGACUUUCCAAACUGGGUAGAGAGUGUCACCCAUCUCAUCCAGCCCAUUACUUCCAAGGAUGGCUGUCUCAGAUACUUUGGAGGCUGGUGUGAGACCCUUCCUGUACCAAGGGCAGGAUGAUGAAACGUUGUUCUUGAAAAACCUCUGGCUGUUUUGAAAAUAGCAUCAUAGAGAAGGCAAUCUAUCUAAAGCCUACAAGCAGAUUCAUCCCAGCAGACUUUAGAAUCCAGUGCCUAGAAUUCCUUGGAGAGCUUGAAAAAGUUUGGAGAAGACUUCUUUUUGCUCGUCUGUGAUACUGAGAGAGAACUACCAAACCAGUUUUUCUUAGCUGAGGUACAGCUCUGAAAUCUCCUUAAUUUUCCAUAUUUUUAAUGUCUAACUGCCUGAACUGGUCCCAUACAGCACCGUACAGAUUCAACCUCUUGUAAUGU